RNAcentral lists this long non-coding RNA (233 nucleotides) under Nicotiana benthamiana. Its description in RNAcentral is "long non-coding RNA (NBEN_LNC005739)". Lineage: Eukaryota; Viridiplantae; Streptophyta; Magnoliopsida; Solanales; Solanaceae. The record is from RNAcentral.
GUGGGUUAACUCGGUAACUUGUACUUAUUGGUGUAGUCAACAUACAAUUAAAAAUUAUACAACAGAGUGAUAUCUUCUUUGGUCUAUUUCUUAUUAAUGUUUAAGAAUCCUGCCAUGUCAAGUUAGAGUCAGGUCCUUUCUGUUUUUUUUUUUCUAGUUAAUAUAAUGUUAUAGUGUUUGUUUAGUGCGAGUUUUACAAAUUAUGUGAUGUUUAUUUCAUGCUAUCUUCCCUC